GCCCGGGUGGCGGAACUGGAAUACGCGCCCCGUUCAGGGCGGGGUCCCGCAAGGGUUGGAGGUUCGAAUCCUCUCCCGGGCA
Molecule: transfer RNA, 82 nt
Filed under: Candidatus Giovannonibacteria bacterium
Lineage: Bacteria; Candidatus Giovannoniibacteriota
Description: tRNA-Leu
Rfam family: tRNA
About the family: Transfer RNA (tRNA) molecules are approximately 80 nucleotides in length. Their secondary structure includes four short double-helical elements and three loops (D, anti-codon, and T loops).
Source: RNAcentral